Molecule: ribosomal RNA, 485 nt
Filed under: Starmerella lactis-condensi
Lineage: Eukaryota; Fungi; Ascomycota; Dipodascomycetes; Dipodascales; Trichomonascaceae
Description: eukaryotic LSU rRNA
Rfam family: Eukaryotic large subunit ribosomal RNA
Source: RNAcentral
AAACCAACAGGGAUUGCUCUAGUAACGGCGAGUGAACAAGCAAAAGCUCAGUUUUGAAAGCCUACUUUGUAGGCAUUGUAUUCUGAAGCCUAGAUUCUGGGAAACGGUGUUUAAGUCUUCUGGAAAGGAGCGCCACGGAGGGUGAUAGCCCCGUACGGCACUGACCCCAUUGUAGUUUCUAGGCGUGGAGUCGAGUUGUUUGGGAAUGCAGCUCAAAUGGGAGGUAUGCUCCUUCUAAAGCUAAAUAUUUGCGAGAGACCGAUAGCGAACAAGUACUGUGAAGGAAAGAUGAAAAGAACUUUGAAAAGAGAGUGAAAUAGGACGUGAAAUUGUUGAAAUGGAAGGGUAGGCUGCUAACCAUGUAGGACCGUGUCUGAGGGGAAGAUAAAAGCUACGGAAUGUGACUCUUCGGAGUGUUAUAGCCGUGGUCAAUGUUCCCACUUAGGCGCGAGGAUCUCAGGUUCUACUAAAUGGUGGUCUACCAC